UACGAAGGGGGCUAGCAUUGCUCGGAAUCACUGGGCGUAAAGGGUGCGUAGGCGGGUCUUUAAGUCAGGGGUGAAAUCCUGGAGCUCAACUCCAGAACUGCCUUUGAUACUGAAGAUCUUGAGUUCGGGAGAGGUGAGUGGAACUGCGAGUGUAGAGGUGAAAUUCGUAGAUAUUCGCAAGAACACCAGUGGCGAAGGCGGCUCACUGGCCCGAUACUGACGCUGAGGCACGAAAGCGUGGGGAGCGAACAGG
Molecule: ribosomal RNA, 253 nt
Filed under: uncultured bacterium
Lineage: Bacteria
Description: partial 16S ribosomal RNA
Rfam family: Bacterial small subunit ribosomal RNA
Source: RNAcentral